This 497-nucleotide ribosomal RNA is filed under the name uncultured bacterium. RNAcentral's name for it is "partial 16S ribosomal RNA". It matches the Rfam family "Bacterial small subunit ribosomal RNA", at positions 28 to 507 of the family's 1533-position model. The record is from RNAcentral.
GAUGAACGCUGGCGGCGUGCCUAAUACAUGCAAGUCGAGCGAACGGACGAGAAGCUUGCUUUUCUGAUGUUAGCGGCGGACGGGUGAGUAACACGUGGAUAACCUACCUAUAAGACUGGGAUAACUUCGGGAAACCGGAGCUAAUACCGGAUAAUAUUUUGAACCGCAUGGUUCAAAAGUGAAAGACGGUCUUGCUGUCACUUAUAGAUGGAUCCGCGCUGCAUUAGCUAGUUGGUAAGGUAACGGCUUACCAAGGCAACGAUGCAUAGCCGACCUGGGAGGGUGAUCGGCCACACUGGAACUGAGACAGGGUCCAGACUCCUACGGGAGGCAGCAGAAGGGAAUCUUCCGCAAUGGGCGAAAGCCUGACGGAGCAACGACGAGUGAGUGAUGAAGGUCUUCGGAUCGUAAAACUCUGUUAUUAGGGAAGAACAUAUGUGUAAGUAACUGUGCACAUCUUGACGGUACCUAAUCAGAAAGCCACGGCUAACUACGUG